RNAcentral lists this ribosomal RNA (421 nucleotides) under uncultured bacterium. RNAcentral describes it as "partial 16S ribosomal RNA". It matches the Rfam family "Bacterial small subunit ribosomal RNA", at positions 360 to 773 of the family's 1533-position model. The record is from RNAcentral.
AAUAUUGGACAAUGGGGGCAACGCUGAUCCAGCCAUUCCGCGUGUGUGAAGAAGGUCUUCGGAUUGUACAGCACCUUAAGUUGGGAGGAAGGUCUUUAGGCUAAUAUCCUGAAGCUUUGACGUUACCUACAGAAUAAGCACCGGCUAACCCUGUGCCAGCAGCCGCGGUAAUACAUAGGUUGCAAGCGUUAAUCGGAAUUACUGGGCGUAAAGCGCGCGUAGGUGGUUCAGUAAGUUGGGUGUGAAAUCCCCGGGCUUAACCUGGGAACUGCUUUCAUAACUGCUGAGCUAGAGUACGGUAGAGGGUAGUGGAAUUUCCUGUGUAGCGGUGAAAUGCGUAGAUAUAGGAAGGAACACCAGUGGCGAAGGCGACUACCUGGACUGAUACUGACACUGAGGUGCGAAAGCGUGGGGAGCAAAC